UGGGGAAUCUUGCGCAAUGGGCGAAAGCCUGACGCAGCGACGCCGCGUGGGGGAUGAAGCUUCUCGGAGUGUAAACCCCUUUCGACCCGGACGAAACGCCCGCAAGGGUUUGACGGUACGGGUACAAGAAGCCCCGGCUAACUACGUGCCAGCAGCCGCGGUAAGACGUAGGGGGCCAGCGUUGCUCGGAAUUACUGGGCGUAAAGGGUUCGUAGGCGGUGUGGUAAGUCGGAAGUGAAAUCUCUGGGCUUAACUCAGAGGCUGCUUUCGAAACUGCCGCGCUAGAGUGCGGGAGAGGCGAGUGGAAUUACAGGUGUAGCGGUGAAAUGCGUAGAUAUCUGUAGGAACACCCGUGGCGAAGGCGGCUCGCUGGACCGCAACUGACGCUGAGGAACGAAAGCUAGGGGAGCAAACAGGAUUAGAUACCCUGGUAGUCCUAGCCCUAAACCAUCAGGACUUGGGGUGGCCCGCGUUGGCGGGUCGUCCCGGAGCUAACGCGUUAAGUCCUGCGCCUGGGGAGUACGGUCGCAAGGCUG
RNAcentral lists this ribosomal RNA (536 nucleotides) under uncultured bacterium. RNAcentral's name for it is "bacterial SSU rRNA". It matches the Rfam family "Bacterial small subunit ribosomal RNA", at positions 355 to 896 of the family's 1533-position model. The record is from RNAcentral.